GGACGGGGAGCCGCUCUUCCGCUUUUGCGGUUGGGAGGAACUUCCGGACUGCACAGGGCAUGAGGCCGGCAAAACCUCUCCCUCCGGGCCUGGUGGCCUGCGGAGCGGCAUAAGCCGGGGUUCCGGGGCAAUAUCCCCGGGGCAUGGAAAGCGCAGCAGAAAACAUACCGCCUGCGGGUAACCGCAGGCAAGGGUGAAAAGGUGCGGUAAGAGCGCACCGCGCCGUUCCGUAAGGACGGCGGCAGUGCAAGCCCCCUCGGCAGCAAGGCCAAGCCGGCGUAUGGACUGCCCGUCCGCGCGAAAGCGCAGCGCCAAGUGGGCCGCAACAGAUAAAUGGUUCCCGGUUUUCCCUAUUAGGGAGACUACAGAAUCCGGGGUACAGUCCG
RNAcentral lists this RNase P RNA (386 nucleotides) under bovine gut metagenome. RNAcentral describes it as "Bacterial RNase P class A". It matches the Rfam family "Bacterial RNase P class A". From Rfam's summary of the family: Ribonuclease P (RNase P) is a ubiquitous endoribonuclease, found in archaea, bacteria and eukarya as well as chloroplasts and mitochondria. Its best characterised activity is the generation of mature 5'-ends of tRNAs by cleaving the 5'-leader elements of precursor-tRNAs. The record is from RNAcentral.